Aethina tumida (small hive beetle) is the source of this 116-nucleotide long non-coding RNA. RefSeq lists it as uncharacterized. The record is from RefSeq and is a predicted model, not a curated record. The transcript has 3 exons. NCBI's taxonomy places the organism in Eukaryota, Metazoa, Arthropoda, Insecta, Coleoptera, Nitidulidae.
AUGUGUUCCAUAUUAUUACCCGGUUCGUGUUAAAACCAGAUUUUGUACUAUACUGGAUGCACCAUGUUUAAAAUCAUGUGCAGGACUAUACGUAGACAUAUAUCGUGAAAAAGCUU